GCCUCCAUAGCUCAGCUGGUUAGAGCGCCGGACUGUUAAUCCGUAGGUCCUAGGUUCAAGUCCUAGUGGGGGCG
RNAcentral lists this transfer RNA (74 nucleotides) under Bacteroidota bacterium. RNAcentral's name for it is "tRNA-Asn". It matches the Rfam family "tRNA". Rfam says of the family: Transfer RNA (tRNA) molecules are approximately 80 nucleotides in length. Their secondary structure includes four short double-helical elements and three loops (D, anti-codon, and T loops). Further hydrogen bonds mediate the characteristic L-shaped molecular structure. tRNAs have two regions of fundamental functional importance: the anti-codon, which is responsible for specific mRNA codon recognition, and the 3' end, to which the tRNAs corresponding amino acid is attached (by aminoacyl-tRNA synthetases). tRNAs cope with the degeneracy of the genetic code in two manners: having more than one tRNA (with a specific anti-codon) for a particular amino acid; and 'wobble' base-pairing, i.e. permitting non-standard base-pairing at the 3rd anti-codon position. Lineage: Bacteria; Pseudomonadati; Bacteroidota. RNAcentral also lists the same sequence under 1 other name. The record is from RNAcentral.